CCAGACCCAUCCCCCACCUGCCAGUUCGGAGUCCACCUGGUGAAGCAACAGCAUUUCUGAAACUCCCUCUGUAUGCAAAGUGCUGUUGAAACUUGAAUGCCGGGGAAGUCCCCUAGAAGGUCUCUACCCUGGAGGGUUUACACGUAGAGCACAGACAAGGUGGCAGAAAACAGUGGAGCAGCCCUGAGCAGUGCUGGGGGACUGUACUAACUGGAACUUGGAAGUAUGUAAGGAUGAAAUGAAAAGUUUGCUGAUCAGAGACUGGGAGAGUUUAAGUAACUUUCCCAAGAUGACUCAGCAACGAAGUUUGGACCAGGAUUCAAACCAAACUGGGUAAGGCUUUCUAUGUUAUGACGUGACUGACCUCUGAUUCAUUUACCUAACUGCCUCCUCUUCUAUCAGAGCCUGGCUCUGGAGUGGAAAGCCAAUGCACAUCUGUUGAAUGGAAUUGAUUUGAAGAGAGCUGGCAAUUAGAAGCCUUCUGAGAUGGCGUGCAGACGGUGGGACAAGGUGCUUCAGAAUAAAAGAUGAAUUAAGUAAGCGGGAGCCAAUUAGCAGAGGAUCGUACAGCCUAAGAUAAGGAGCUUUAAUUUGAUAGGAGACAAUUGGGAGCCAUUCAUCGUGGAGCUGCAGAAAGGUGGUGACAAGCCCCUAAUGACACUCAAGGGCCUUUGAAACCUUUAAUUGCUGCUUGUAAUUUUGCUAUUUCCAUGUUGAAGUGACAGUGACACAGGAGGAUAAGCAGGGAGCUGCCAGGUGACCCAGACUGCAGAGACUCCAGCAAGGUCACCCUGAGAGAACGGCCCUGCCCCUCGUGAGAGCUGGAGUGCUGCAAAGACCCAGGAUCCCUUCACGUCUUCCGUCUGAUGCAAAACACUUGGGAAGCCAGUAGCCAGGCCUGACCUUCAAAAGCCAGAGAGUGCCAACAGCAGAACAGAUUCCAGACAAACAGGACAAUGGCCUUUUCAGGCCACAGAAUGCAGCUCAGUAUUGUAAUUUUUGCCUGUGAUGCAGCUUCUUGAACACACACAAACCUCUCAUUUUUACCUACCCCAUGACGGUGACUUAUUUACUGCUGAAGACGCUGGAGCUGAUUCAAGCUGCAAACCACUACUCCCACCCCAAAAGGGGUGGGAGUAAAAUCCACACAUAUGCAAGAAAAGCCAAGCGAUGGGAAACUGCGGGGCUGCAAGUCCGAGAGGGGCACCAGGUGCAUUAAUUACACUUGAUUGCACACUGGUUUAUUACUGCGGCCACUUGUGGGCAAUGAUCUGUCCCCGUGUCUGUGUGAAGGAUAUCCUUGGUAUUUUGCUAAGCAAGAUGAAUAUUGGCCAGAUGGUGACUUCAUGAGGACAUAAUUCACAUAGCAUUUUCCUGCCCCAACACAGAUUUCUGUGAAGGAAUCUUGAAUGCCAUGCUGAACAAAACAGAACAAGAAAACCCAACCCCCGAAAAGGCUCAGCCGUAAGCUGAAGAUGGAUGGUGUCGGCAGGGCCUCUGACAGGACCCAAAUGGCAGGCAGCUCCCAGGCUUGGCACUGCAGGUCUUGCCAGCCCAUCUCCCCGUCUCUUGCAGAGUGAGCUGACAUCAUUUGCAGCGUUUCCAGUUUGCUCUGCAUGGGGAGGGCAGACUCUGAGCCCCAAAUGACAAGCUGCAGAAACUGGGUCACUUGCCUUUUUAUUUUUUUAAUUAACUUUGUGCAGUGACAGGACUUGUCAGCACCUGCUUUCUCUGUAAUUUGAUUUUGACGAUGACCAAGCGGAUAAUGUUCUCUCGGCUCCAACAGUGUGGGUUGGCGCUGGAAGAGAAAAAGUGGGAGAGGAGCAAGUAUCUCACCUUUGACCUUCUUAAAAAGCAGUACCCUCAUGAAUGUUUAGAGCAGCUUUAUUCAGAAGUACUACAAUUCAGAAGCCACCAAGAUAUCCUUGCACGGGGAAAGGACAACGAAACUGUGGUAUAUCCAUACAAUGCAGUAUUACUCAGUGAAAAAAAUAAAUGAACCAUCGGGCUACAAAAUAGACAUAGAGGAACUUUAAAUGCAUUGGGCCAAGUGAAAGGCACCAGUCUGCAAAGGCUACAUACUCUAUGAUUCCAAAUACACGACAUUCUGGAAAAGGCAAAUCUACAGACAGUAAAAAGAUCAGGGGCUGCCAAGGGUUCAGGGAAGGAGUGAGGAGAUGAAUAGGUGGUGCACAGGGCAUUUUUAAGGUAGCAAAAUGCUUUUGAUGCUGUAAUGGUGGGUACAUGACAUCAUGCGUUUAUCAAAAUCCAACUGAUGCAAAGGAGAAGCCCUAAGGUAAACUACGGACUUCCAUUACUAGUAACUGGUAUUAGCUGAAUCAUGUUCCCCAUGAAGCCAUGUCCACUUCCUAACCCCCGGUCCUGUGGAUAUAAACUCAGUGGUAAAUGGAUCAUCUGUAAAUGGGAUUCAAAGAUAAGGGUAGGCUUUGCUGCAUUAUGACCAGUGUCCCUAUAAGCUGAGGAAAUUCGGACUCGGUAGCAGGAGUCAGGGGGAGACAGAUGGGGAGAGAGGUGGACAGGGAAGGAGGCCGGGGCUGAGCGAUGGGCUGCUGGCAAGCAGACGUUAGAGACUUCAGAAAAAGCAGGACUCUGCCAGUACCUUGACAUUGGGCUUCCUGCCUCCAAAGCCCCGAGCCAACCAGCCUGUAGUAUUUAUCACUUCAGCCCCAGUGAAUUCCGACAAUAAUGUAUCAGCAUUGGUUCAUCAUUGGUAACAAAUGCCCCACACUAAUGCAUAAUAGGGGAAAUUGUGUGGUAGUGGUGGUGACUCUGUGCUUUCUGUACAGUUUUUCUGUAAACCUGAAACUGCUUUUAAAAAUAAGUCUAUUAAAAAACAUACCAAGAGGACCUGGUAUUAUCGGGCCAUCAGCUAGUAAGCAAAAUGGGCUAGUUUCGAGGUGGUUUAGAAAUGUUUUUACUCCCUAAGGAGUAAUAUUUAUCAGACACACGUGGAGUUCCAAAUUAGGCAUUACACACCUGUCAGUGGCAAUUUAAAUGUCUUAAGCCCAUCUGGAAUUCGUGAAAUUCCUACAACCUACACACUUGAGUCUGAAACCACAAAGUAAGUACAUUGAGACUGAAAGUCAUGCAGCUUCAAAACAAGGGCAGCUCAAGACAGUUCAAAAGCAAAUGUCACCAGUGUGGAGCUUGUGGGCUGGGUGUGGCCACAUCCCUGGGGGUCCCUGCCCACCACCCCUCCAUGUCAGGACCAAAGCCAUCCAGGCAAGCCAAUGCUUUGUGGCUGCUAUUUGUCCGUUUUAAGGAAUAAACAGUCACACCUGUAAUAAAGGAGUGACUGACUUCAAACACUGUUGGCAGCCAGUUCUUGCACACUUGCUGAGUGUGAGACUCUGCUGAGCACAACUCCACAAAUCCUUGAAGCCCGUGUGAGAAGGAACUGUCGAGCGAAUGUCAGAUUGCCUGUUCAAACACUUACUGGCUGUGUGACCUCACACAAGUGACUUAACCUCUCUGAGUGCCGGUUUCCUCCUCUGUUCAGUGGGAAUGAGGAGAGAACCCAGCACAAAGGCUGGUGAGAACUGAGUGAGAGGGUGCUGUGAAAGCUUGAUAGGGAGCCUGGCAUACCCAGGUGCUCAAAAAGAUCUGCAAUUAUUAUUAUCCAGAUCUUGCAGCUGUGGAAGUGAAACAGUGCAUCUAAAAAGCUCCACCGAGGGCACUUCGCUAUUAAGUGGUAAAAAUAAGAUCGGAACCCAGCCCCUCCUCGGCUGCCGCCUCCUGCUCUGAGAACUGAUGCAAAUUCAUGGCAAAAAGCCCAGUGACAACAGUCCCUCCUCUUCUGGCAGGCUGAGCAUUGGCAGACAGUCCACCAUGCCCUUAGAAAAACCUCUAUUGUUUCCUUGGAAGGCCUUUUGAUCCUCCAAAAUAAAAUGCUACUUUUUGUUUUU
Molecule: long non-coding RNA, 3926 nt
Organism: Choloepus didactylus (southern two-toed sloth)
Lineage: Eukaryota; Metazoa; Chordata; Mammalia; Pilosa; Megalonychidae
Exons: 3
Source: RefSeq, a predicted model, not a curated record